ACGGGAGGCAGCAGUGGGGAAUAUUGGGCAAUGGGCGCAAGCCUGACCCAGCAACGCCGCGUGAGGGAUGAAGGUUUUCGGAUUGUAAACCUCUGUCCUUGGUGACGAACACAAUGACGGUAGCCAAGGAGGAAGCCCCGGCUAACUACGUGCCAGCAGCCGCGGUAAUACGUAGGGGGCGAGCGCUGUUCGGAAUCACUGGGCGUAAAGGGAGCGCAGGCGGGGAUGCAAGCAGUCUGUACAAUACCGGGGCCCAACCCCGGACCUGCAGACUGGACUGUUUCCCUUGGAUAGCUCAGGGGCUGGCGGAAUUCCUGGUGUAGCGGUGGAAUGCGUAGAGAUCAGGAAGAACACCGAUGGCGAAGGCAGCCAGCUGGGGGCUUAUCGACGCUCAUGCUCGAAAGUGCGGGUAGCAAACAGGAUUAGAUACCCUGGUA
This 437-nucleotide ribosomal RNA is filed under the name uncultured Fibrobacter sp. RNAcentral's name for it is "partial 16S ribosomal RNA". It matches the Rfam family "Bacterial small subunit ribosomal RNA", at positions 341 to 792 of the family's 1533-position model. Lineage: Bacteria; Pseudomonadati; Fibrobacterota; Fibrobacteria; Fibrobacterales; Fibrobacteraceae. The record is from RNAcentral.